AAAAAAAUAGUUUGCUCAAAGCAUUACAUCUUAUCAGGUCUUUCUUAAGUUGACAUGUAAAUCGAGCUGUGCAUUACAGAAGUUCACAGUCUUUGGAGUGCAAUCUGUCCACUGUUGGAGUAGAGCUUUUAAGUGAUACCUAGCAAACCUUCUUACCUGCUUCUGACUAUGGAGAAGGGUGCUUUCAGAAAGUUUCUUAGUAGUAACCUUUUUUAUUUUUACUUUGUUUUAUUGGUUUGCUUACAGGCCAGCACCCUGCCCCCCAAGCCACUGCAGUGGGCUCUGUUAUUAUGACUCUGAAGUCUGCAACUGCAAAGUUAAGAAGUUGCGAAGUGAUUUAGAGCGUGACUUUACAAGUGUCUGAAAGUGGUAUUAUUCUGUGAGUACCAUCUCGAGGUGCUGAUUUUGAGUAAGAGUAAAACCUACUUAAACCCAAAGCAGAAUUUUAGAUCCUAAAAUCUUUAGAAAUGGAAAUAUUGGAGUCCUGUAGUUAUUCCUGUAAAUAUGUCAAAAAAUAUUUGGACUGUAACAGAGCAGGUUUGUUUGCCUGACCAAUGCAGAUUUUAAAAUCAGCAAAUUAUGAAACCUUAUUAAAUUAUUAAAAUUAAUUGUCUUCUCUUACAGGGCGAUUUCUAUGUGUUAUGAACUCUCAAACAACAACUUGGCCUUCAUCAAACAGUGUAGGAUGGUUCAGGUUAUCUCAUUAAUUUAAUUGGCUCCCCUGGACAUGUUUGUUUUUCCUCUGAAGUUACAGCAGCUUUCCAUGCCAUUAAUGAUGUCCUUGAUGUGGCUGACUGUGUUUCAGGGUUUGUGUACAGGCAGAGGCUGUUCUGCAGAGACUGUUGCAGAAUGUAUCAAACCAAUACUGAUGAUGGACAAAAAUGGAUCGUGCUUUGCUGGAAUUGCUGCUGGAGCUGCAAUGAGAAAAUUUAGCAAGACGUUUCAGUGUGUUGUGGAAAUUGUCAGUGUCAUCAUUUCCACCUACAGAGAGGGUGAAACUGGACCAGUCUCAAAAACUGUGAUGCCAAAGGCCCUCUGAUGAUAUGUAUUUCCAAAAUGAUCCCCACAUCUGCCAAGGGGUGCCUUUGGGUGAGUAUUCUCUGGUAUCACUUCUACUCGACAGAAAGGUCAAAUUAUGGGACCAGAUUACACACCUGGCAAGAAAGAAGAUCAUUACCUAAAAUCCAUUCAAAGUGCAAUAUUGAAGAGUUUUGUGAACACAUCAUUGCUGGAGAACGGGCUCUGCAUCCAGAAAUCUGCCUUAAAGAUCUGGAAGAUCAUGCUUGUAUUCCAGUGAAGGUACUCAAGGAUUUUUGUGGACCACAGUGUAUAGAAUACGACUAAGUAUUAACCUUUGAAAAUAUCAUCUUAAUAUGCUGUUGCUGGUUUCCUUAGAGCAUCUUCCUUAAAGCAAUUUGAAACCUUU
RNA transcript from Pezoporus flaviventris, 1426 nucleotides. It is a transcript of the gene named elongation factor 2-like, with no coding region annotated. The transcript is spliced from 4 exons. The record is from RefSeq and is a predicted model, not a curated record. Lineage: Eukaryota; Metazoa; Chordata; Aves; Psittaciformes; Psittacidae.